UUUAAAGUCUGACCUGCCCACUGAAAUUUUUUAAAUGGCCGCAGUAUACUAACUGUGCAAAGGUAGCAUAAUCAUUAGUCUUUUAAUUGAAGGCUGGUAUGAAUGGUUGGACGAGAUAUUAACUGUUUCAUAAAAAUUUAUAAUAGAAUUUUAUUUUUUAGUCAAAAAGCUAAAAUUUAUUUAAAAGACGAGAAGACCCUAUAAAUCUUUAUAUUUAUAUUAUUAUAAUUUUGUAGAUUUUUUUUGUUAUGAUAAUAGAUGAUAUUUUAUUGGGGUGAUAUUAAAAUUUAAUAAACUUUUAAUUGUUUAAAUCAUUAAUUUAUGAAUAAUUGAUCCGUUAUUAGCGAUUAAAAAAACAAGUUACUUUAGGGAUAACAGCGUAAUUUUUUUGGAGAGUUCAUAUCGAUAAAAAAGAUUGCGACCUCGAUGUUGGAUUAAGAUAUAAUUUUAGGUGUAGCCGCUUAAAUUUUAAGUCUGUUCGACUUUUAAAUUCUUACGUGAUCUGAGUUCAGACCGGA
Molecule: ribosomal RNA, 518 nt
Filed under: Lucilia illustris
Lineage: Eukaryota; Metazoa; Arthropoda; Insecta; Diptera; Calliphoridae
Also listed under: 1 other name
Description: partial 16S ribosomal RNA
Rfam family: Bacterial large subunit ribosomal RNA
Source: RNAcentral